CAAUAGCGUAUAUUAAAGUUGUUGCGGUUAAAAAGCUCGUAGUUGGAUUUCUGCUGAGGACGAUCGGUCCGCCCACUGGGUGAGUAUCUGGCUCGGCCUUGGCAUCUUCUUGGAGAACGUUGCUGCACUUGACUGUGUGGUGCGGUAUCCAGGACUUUUACUUUGAGGAAAUUAGAGUGUUUCAAGCAGGCGCACGCCUUGAAUACAUUAGCAUGGAAUAAUAAGAUAGGACCUUAGUUCUAUUUUGUUGGUUUCUAGAGCUGAGGUAAUGAUUAAUAGGGAUAGUUGGGGGCAUUCGUAUUUAACUGUCAGAGGUGAAAUUCUUGGAUUUGUUGAAGACGGACUACUGCGAAAGCAUUUGCCAAGGAUGUUUUCAUUGA
This 380-nucleotide ribosomal RNA is filed under the name uncultured eukaryote. Its description in RNAcentral is "partial 18S ribosomal RNA". It matches the Rfam family "Eukaryotic small subunit ribosomal RNA", at positions 592 to 976 of the family's 1831-position model. The record is from RNAcentral.